Long non-coding RNA from Siniperca chuatsi (mandarin fish), 1986 nucleotides. RefSeq lists it as uncharacterized. NCBI's taxonomy places the organism in Eukaryota, Metazoa, Chordata, Actinopteri, Centrarchiformes, Sinipercidae. The transcript is spliced from 2 exons. The record is from RefSeq and is a predicted model, not a curated record.
UCUCAUCAUCAUCACCACCAUUCUCCUCCUCCUCCAGCCUCCACCGCUAUGAUGCUGCAUCUCAUCCCACCCGCUCUAAUAAUGUGUUUUAGUAUGUUAGUUAACGGGCAACUCGAGGACUCCAGACUGACCGAGAGAGCUUAUGUGGUUUUACAGAAGCAGAAUUUAGUCACGCUCGGGAGUGUCCUCGCAGUGCUGCUGGUGCUGAUGAUUAUCAUGGCUGUAUGUGUCUACAAACCGCUGUCUCGUCGAUGAAACUGUCUCUUGGAGGAAAUAAAGAGCGAACCUGCUGCCCGCCCGGUGCAAAGUGACACCUGCACCGAGGAGCUCAGCCCCGGUACCACAACCAGCUCCCGACGGGACCAGGCCCGAGUCUGCCCUUAUAUAUCAAUAACGAAAAACACCCAGAAUGCACAAUUAUAUAGCCUAUUAACUGGGGUCUCAUUUGUCAUGAAAUCAGGUCAAUUAAGACUGUUACACCUACCUAUUUUGAUAUGCUGUAAUUUCUUUACUUGAUUUGCUAUGAGGGACAUUGAUAUAAUAUAGGCCUAUAUACAAAUUAAAGGAAAAACCUGAAUAAAUGAGUGGAGAAACAUAACGACUGCAGAUGCUUCCACACAGGUGCACUGCAUGGUACAGUUAAGCAAUUAACAUCCAAUCAUGCUCUGUGGCAUGUAUAAAAUACUGAGCAUGCCCAGUUCAUUCUGAUGUUGUAUCAAGAUGGCAAGAGGAAAAGAUCUAAGUGACUUUGAAAGAGGGUUCAUUAUUGGGGCACGGAUGGCAGGAGAUUCAGUCACAGACUGCUCAACUGGCUAAUGUUUUAAUAGGAACAGGGACUAAAUUGACAUCUGCAUUUAGAUCUAUGGGAAAGACAUCAGUAAAUAGGCUCGGAAAUUGUGGUCGACAGAGCACAUUUGAUGACAGUGAUGCUCGUGCAUUAGUGCGAUAUGUAAGGAUAAACAGAAGAACAACUCUUCCUCAGGUGACUGAGAAUGUCAAUGCAGGACGUGAUCAGACUGUCAGCGAGAACAGUCCGUCGACAUUUACAUCGAGAGGGAUAUUAUAGUAGGGUUGCAGGGCAUAAACCCCUCAUUAAAAAGAUGAAUGCACAUUUGAGAGUUAAGUAGCGCAAAAACCAUAGGCACUGGUCUACAGAGAUGUGGAAAAAAAGUGAUACCUUAUUAUCCAUACCAUAUUAUCGACAAGUGGGCGAGUACAUGUGUGGCGUACACUAAGAGAAUGGUACAGGCCUGAAUGCUUGACCCCUACAGUGAGGGGAUCCGGUGGCGCUGCCAUGCUGUGGGGGGCAUUUUGCUGGCAUGGUUUGGGUCCCAUUAGAGGGAAGUGUCACUGCAAAUCAAUACAAAGUUGUUCUGAGUGAUCACCUUUUAGGAAACAUUUCUAUCCUGAUGGGAGUGGUCUCUUCCAGGAUGACGAUGCCCCAAUCCGUAAGGCAUGAGCGGUCUGGUGUUUGAUGAGUAUGAAAAUGAUGUGAAUCAUAUCGCCUUCGCAGUUACUAAAUCUCAACCCAAUGGAAUACCUAUGGGAGAUUUUGGACCAAAGUAUUACCAUCAUCAAAACACCAAAUGAGGGAAUAUCUUUUGGAAGAAUGGGGUUCAUCCCUCCAGUAGAGAUCCAGAGACUUGUAGAAUCAAUGUCAAGGUGCACUGAAGCUGUUCUGAUGGCACACCUUACUAAGACACUUUAGGUUGGUUUUUCCUUUAAUUUGUCACCCAUCUGUAUAUUAUUUUCCUAAUUUUACUCCCAAUAAUCUCAGCUAUUACAUAUGCGUCACAUUGUAUUUGAUUGUUUUUAUUUAGUUUUUAUUUAUUUGGACUUCACAUCUUAAGGAAAUGCUGUUAGUGGGUGUAUUUAGUUUGCUUUUAAGGCCAUGUGUUUGUCUUAUUAGCCCUUUUUAGUCAAUAAGCCUGGAGGCCUGCAACCAAAUAAAUAACCAAUAAAUAAACUAAUAGGAUUACACAGUGA